CACGAACAAACCGCGUACACUACAGAGUGGUAGGGGGCGGUGUUCUUAAGAGUCUAUCGUGAAGCCCCGCAGACUGCAGGAACCUUAAUAACGAAAGCUGCGGUGCUGCUGACAUUAGAACUGCAAUUCUAGUGAGGCCACUGGACCAAAAUCUUAUCAGGUUCUAUAAUUGGUUUCGAAUCUGUUUCCUCAGCACACCAGCCCGAUGCGCUGACUAUUCGACCAUGGAGUACCAAAUGACCCAGGCAAGCGGGGAAAACGGUUGGACAGAAGCAUACAAACAUACACUGAUAGUCCUCGGAAAAUGCGUCACGUAUGCAAAGAAUGUUCAUAUUUCUCUAAUGGGCAAGUUUCACUAGGUAUGUGUUACUAGGGCCAGUGAGCAUGUGUCGCCGUUCAAUGAACUUUUUUGAAAUAAGUGCCACUAUGAGUAUGUACCACUGUGCAUAUAUGUGGCGCUCUUCAAUGAACCUGUGGAGACGACAUGGCCUGUUGGACUGCCUUCACUUUAUUGACGGCUUUGCGAGCCAGGGCAUGGCGCCAGAGAAGGAAUGGGGAACACGGUACCUGUGUUGCGGCCGCACCGUUGUUGUUGUUGUUUUCCCUCUGCACAAG
Molecule: long non-coding RNA, 615 nt
Organism: Dermacentor albipictus
Lineage: Eukaryota; Metazoa; Arthropoda; Arachnida; Ixodida; Ixodidae
Source: RefSeq, a predicted model, not a curated record